RNAcentral lists this ribosomal RNA (449 nucleotides) under uncultured bacterium. RNAcentral's name for it is "partial 16S ribosomal RNA". It matches the Rfam family "Bacterial small subunit ribosomal RNA", at positions 354 to 796 of the family's 1533-position model. The record is from RNAcentral.
GUCGAGAAUCUUUCACAAUGGGGGCAACCCUGAUGGAGCGACGCCGCGUGGAGGAUAAGGUCUUCGGAUUGUAAACUCCUGUCAUGCGUGAACAAGGUUGCUUGGUUAAUACCUGGGCAAAUUGAUGGUAACGCAAGAGGAAGAGACGGCUAACUCUGUGCCAGCAGCCGCGGUAAUACAGAGGUCUCAAGCGUUGUUCGGAAUCACUGGGCGUAAAGGGUGCGUAGGUGGCGUGGUAAGUCAGAAGUGAAAGCCCGGGGCUCAACCUCGGAACUGCAUCCGAUACUGCCAUGCUAGAGUACUGGAGAGGUGACUAGAAUUCUCGGUGUAGCAGUGAAAUGCGUAGAUAUCGAGAGGAAUACCAAAGGCGUAGGCAGGUCACUGGACAGUUACUGACACUGAGGCACGAAGGCCAGGGGAGCGAACGGGAUUAGAAACCCGGGUAGUCC